UAUGGUUACAAUGGAAAUCA
RNAcentral lists this unclassified non-coding RNA (20 nucleotides) under Chlamydomonas reinhardtii. RNAcentral describes it as "small RNA Cre_2403". Lineage: Eukaryota; Viridiplantae; Chlorophyta; Chlorophyceae; Chlamydomonadales; Chlamydomonadaceae. The record is from RNAcentral.